UACGUAGGGACCAAGCGUUGUUCGGAUUUACUGGGCGUAAAGGGCGCGUAGGCGGUGUGUCAAGUCAGGCGUGAAAGCCCCGGGCUCAACCUGGGAACCGCGCUUGAGACUGGCACGCUAGAGUUCGGGAGAGGAUGGUGGAAUUCCCAGUGUAGAGGUGAAAUUCGUAGAUAUUGGGAAGAACACCGAUGGCGAAGGCAGCCAUCUGGACCGACACUGACGCUGAGGCGCGAAAGCGUGGGGAGCAAACAGG
Molecule: ribosomal RNA, 253 nt
Filed under: uncultured bacterium
Lineage: Bacteria
Description: partial 16S ribosomal RNA
Rfam family: Bacterial small subunit ribosomal RNA
Source: RNAcentral